CUAUUUUAACUCAAAGAAAUUCUCUGCAUAGUUGUCCAAACAUAUAUUUAAUUAUUUUCAGCAAAGAAACUUUGAAACUUAGAACAAAACCAAGCUAAUUACAGAUUUAUAUAUUAAUGAUUAUUAAACUAAAAUACUAAGAUUGUUCGUAACACAGUGCCUUGUCGAUCAAUAUAAAUCUCUAGAUCAACCAAACUAGCUGUCAUAGAUUCUUUUCGUACAUUAUACUCACAGGAGACCGCGUGGGCUCUCACCUUCCUAGGUGGGUGGAGCAGACUAGAAAAUGGCAAGCAUCCUGCCCAGCAGCAGUGUCAAAUGAUCCGUUAAGGGCAGAGACUGAAAAGGGGAAGAGACAACUCUUUGUCAUUCCUUCCAAUUUAAAACUAUGUAAUGUGGUUCUGACUUCUCACAGAUCCAAACAGCUAUUAAAUUCAUCUUUCGUGUAUGGCAUGUUGA
This is a long non-coding RNA of Mastomys coucha (southern multimammate mouse), 456 nucleotides long. RefSeq lists it as uncharacterized. The transcript has 2 exons. NCBI's taxonomy places the organism in Eukaryota, Metazoa, Chordata, Mammalia, Rodentia, Muridae. The record is from RefSeq and is a predicted model, not a curated record.